Molecule: ribosomal RNA, 253 nt
Filed under: uncultured bacterium
Lineage: Bacteria
Description: partial 16S ribosomal RNA
Rfam family: Bacterial small subunit ribosomal RNA
Source: RNAcentral
UACGUAGGGGGCUAGCGUUGUCCGGAAUCAUUGGGCGUAAAGAGCGUGUAGGCGGUCCGGUAAGUCCGCUGUGAAAGUCGGGGGCUCAACCCUCGAAUGCCGGUGGAUACUGUCGGGCUAGAGUACGGAAGAGGCGAGUGGAAUUCCUGGUGUAGCGGUGAAAUGCGCAGAUAUCAGGAAGAACACCUAUGGCGAAGGCAGCUCUCUGGGACGGUACUGACGCUGAGACGCGAAAGCGUGGGGAGCGAACAGG